AUUGAACGCUGGCGGCAUGCCUUACACAUGCAAGUCGAACGGCAGCACGGGAGCAAUCCUGGUGGCGAGCGGCGAACGGGUGAGUAAAGUAUCGGAACGUGCCCAGUCGUGGGGGAUAACGUAGCGAAAGUUACGCUAAUACCGCAUACGAUAUAUGGAUGAAAGCGGGGGAUCGCAAGACCUCGCGCGAUUGGAGCGGCCGAUAUCAGAUUAGGUAGUUGGUGGGGUAAAGGCUCACCAAGCCGACGAUCUGUAGCUGGUCUGAGAGGACGACCAGCCACACUGGGACUGAGACACGGCCCAGACUCCUACGGGAGGCAGCAGUGGGGAAUUUUGGACAAUGGGCGAAAGCCUGAUCCAGCCAUGCCGCGUGCAGGAUGAAGGCCUUCGGGUUGUAAACUGCUUUUGUACGGAACGAAAAGGUUUGGCCUAAUAAGCUGAGCUCAUGACGGUACCGUAAGAAUAAGCACCGGCUAACUACGUGCCAGCCGCCGCAGUAA
Molecule: ribosomal RNA, 500 nt
Filed under: uncultured bacterium
Lineage: Bacteria
Description: partial 16S ribosomal RNA
Rfam family: Bacterial small subunit ribosomal RNA
Source: RNAcentral